Molecule: non-coding RNA, 968 nt
Organism: Schizosaccharomyces pombe (fission yeast)
Lineage: Eukaryota; Fungi; Ascomycota; Schizosaccharomycetes; Schizosaccharomycetales; Schizosaccharomycetaceae
Source: the annotation of a GenBank genome assembly
UUGAAACAUUCCAGCAGUUUUUACAGUACUCAAAUUUUAGUAAAAAGGCUAUUAAUAAUAUCUCAGCAAUAAAUUCUUUGUAUAUAAAUAAAUCAAAAGUGAUUCUCCGCCAUAAAUUUUCAAAGGUAAUUAACCGUUCAUUUAAGGACUCUUUUGAAACUUCCAAAUUAUUUACAGCUGCAAUUAGUCUAUAUUAUUAUACAAUCCUUAGCAAGAGAGACUAGCCUUGCCUUCUCUCAACAAAUACUUGGCCUCCCUUUAAAAGAUAUCAUGAGUCGGAUUCCGCGAUUUCAUAAUCUACUUGUAUAGUUAGAGAGCAACCCAUGCAUGGGACGACACUUCUGUUAUUUUCCAGGUCGUCUUCCGUGACAACAUAUCCUCCUAAAUCGCCGCAUCGGCAAGGAUAAUAAUAGGAGCCGUUGUCGAGUUCUUCAAAUUCACUUAGAUCAACGAUAGAGUAGUAAUGCGAGCUUUCUGUUUAGAUUAAUAAAAAAACCUUCAAAACAAAAUUACCCUCUUCUUGUUUUAUUUGAUAUUGCUGACGAUCUUUUUCACUUGAAAGGACUUGAUAUGCUUCUUUCACUUGAUCAAUAGUAUACACCACAGAGGGCUUUUCUUUACACUUAUCCGGGUGAAACAGUAGUAACGCUUUUCUAUAAGCUUCUUUUAUUUCAUCGUCUGUGUAAGUUUUUCCAUCUUUGAGGUUUAGAACCGAAUAGUGGUUCAUGAGGAUACAGCACACUUAUGUCGUUCUGCUGGUAUAUGCAUAUACAUAGUUAGGGUGCCCAAUUGAUUUGUCAUUACUUUGAUGUAGGAGAGCAAUGAUGAAACAAUAUGUGCUCAAAUGUUUAAUUAAAGCUACAUCUUUAAAAAUUUUUAAAGAAUUAUUGAGGUUAGGCGCAUUGCAUUUGUUAAUAACUCAUUAUUUAACUCACUUCUUUUUCUGAAUUAUUCAAUAUUUAACCGAC